GCGGGCCAGACGGCCGCGCGUACACGGCGAAAGCCCGUGCGUGAGGAAAGUCCGGGCUCCACAGGGCAAGGAUAACGGGUAACGCCCGCCAGGGGAAACCCUCGGACAAGUGCAACAGAGAUAUACCGCCACGGCACUCCGCCGGCUUUGCCGGCAAAAGAGAAGCAAGGAAGCGAGCGAAGUUUUCACGCGCAGCCCACGGCUGCCGCGCGGAAACGGAGGUGAGCGGACUUUGCUUUUUGGCCCCCGAUGAAAGCCCGCGGCUUUCAUUGGGAAAGGAGGAGCAAGGGAGCGAGCGAAGUUUUCACGCGCAGCCCACGGCUGCCGCGCGGAAACGGAGCCGAGCGGACUUUGCGACGACGUGGUAAGGGUGGAAAGGCGGAGAUAAGCGCCCGCCCGCCGCAUGGAGACAUGACGGCGCUGUAAACUCUAUCCGGAGCAACACCGUGGAAAGGGACACAAGGCCGGCCCGGCCGUCCCGAUGGAGGUGGCUUGAGGCGCGCGGCAACGUGCGUUCGAGAUAGAUGGCCGUCCACGACAGAACCCGGCUUACAGGCCCGCGC
Molecule: RNase P RNA, 563 nt
Filed under: chicken gut metagenome
Description: Bacterial RNase P class A
Rfam family: Bacterial RNase P class A
About the family: Ribonuclease P (RNase P) is a ubiquitous endoribonuclease, found in archaea, bacteria and eukarya as well as chloroplasts and mitochondria. Its best characterised activity is the generation of mature 5'-ends of tRNAs by cleaving the 5'-leader elements of precursor-tRNAs.
Source: RNAcentral